This 452-nucleotide ribosomal RNA is filed under the name uncultured organism. RNAcentral describes it as "partial 16S ribosomal RNA". It matches the Rfam family "Bacterial small subunit ribosomal RNA", at positions 332 to 800 of the family's 1533-position model. The record is from RNAcentral.
UACACUCCUGCGGGAGGCAGCAGUGGGGAAUAUUGGACAAUGGGCGCAAGCCUGAUCCAGCCAUGCCGCGUGAGUGAUGAAGGCCCUAGGGUUGUAAAGCUCUUUCACCGGUGAAGAUAAUGACGGUAACCGGAGAAGAAGCCCCGGCUAACUUCGUGCCAGCAGCCGCGGUAAUACGAAGGGGGCUAGCGUUGUUCGGAUUUACUGGGCGUAAAGCGCACGUAGGCGGACUAUUAAGUCAGGGGUGAAAUCCCGGGGCUCAACCCCGGAACUGCCUUUGAUACUGGUAGUCUUGAGUUCGAGAGAGGUGAGUGGAAUUCCGAGUGUAGAGGUGAAAUUCGUAGAUAUUCGGAGGAACACCAGUGGCGAAGGCGGCUCACUGGCUCGAUACUGACGCUGAGGUGCGAAAGCGUGGGGAGCAAACAGGAUUAGAUACCCGAGUAGUCCCAUGA